Molecule: ribosomal RNA, 253 nt
Filed under: uncultured prokaryote
Description: partial 16S ribosomal RNA
Rfam family: Bacterial small subunit ribosomal RNA
Source: RNAcentral
GACGUAGGGCGCGAGCGUUGUCCGGAUUUAUUGGGCGCAAAGAGCUCGUAGGCGGCUUGUUGCGUCGUCCGUGAAAACCUGUGGCUCAACCACAGGCUUGCGGUCGAUACGGGCGGGCUGGAGUUCGGUAGGGGAGACUGGAAUUCCUGGUGUAGCGGUGAAAUGCGCAGAUAUCAGGAGGAACACCGGUGGCGAAGGCGGGUCUCUGGGCCGAUACUGACGCUGAGGAGCGAAAGCGUGGGGAGCGAACAGG